Molecule: RNA transcript, 1881 nt
Organism: Salvia hispanica
Lineage: Eukaryota; Viridiplantae; Streptophyta; Magnoliopsida; Lamiales; Lamiaceae
Gene name: chaperone protein dnaJ 49-like
Source: RefSeq, a predicted model, not a curated record
UUUUCCUGCUAAAUACACUUGACUUUGAUCGGUAUCUGAAUUGCGGAAUCUCGCACAGAGCAAAACCCCUCUUUGUUCAUCGCCCAAAUCCCCCAAUUCAAUCCAAAUCAAUUUCUUCUGCAACUUCACCUUCCGAUUCUCGGCAUACACCUUUGCUCUCCGCACAGAAUCUAUUGCAGGAAAAGUAUGGAUGGCAACAAAGAUGAAGCAUUGAAGUGUUUGAACAUCGCCAAGAACUCAAUUCAAUCCGGCGACAGAGAUCGCGCCCUAAAAUUCCUCAAUAAAGCCCGUAGGCUUGAUCCGUCUAUCCAAAUCGACGAAUUUCUCUCCAAUCUCAGCGAUUCACCGCCGGAGGAGAAAAGCCCUAAUUCACCCACCGACGAAAGCCCUCCCGAUCCAUCGAAAACUGGCCCCCGCCGUAGGGCUCCGGCCGCCGCGCGAUCGACGUCGUCUUCUUCCACCGCAUCGGCGACCUAUACGGAGGAGCAGGUGACAAUUGUCAGAGAUAUUAAGAGGAAGAAGGAUUACUACGAGAUUUUAGGGGUGGAGAAAAGUUGCUCUGGUGAGGAUGUUCGGAAGGCGUAUAGGAAGCUCUCUUUGAAGGUCCAUCCUGAUAAGAACACGGCGCCAGGGGCGGAGGAGGCGUUCAAGAUGGUUUCCAAGGCAUUUCAGUGCUUGAGCGAUGAGGAGAGCCGUAAGAAAUAUGACGUCUUGGGGUCGGAUGAGCCGGUCUACGUGAGGAGAGGCGGAGGGGGUGGUCAAGGGAUGCGUGGCUUUAACGGGUUUUAUGAAGCGGACGUUGAUGCGGAUGAGAUUUUUAGGAAUUUCUUCUUCGGGGGAAUGCAUCCUGCAACGACUGGGAAUUUCGGGGGAUUUGCGUUUGGACCAGGUGUGAGAGUGAGAACUGGUGGAGCUGGAGUUGGAGUUGAUCAUAGCCCUAAUUGGGUGAGAACUGUGGGGCAGUUGCUGCCGGUGAUACUCAUAUUGUUAGUGAACUUCAUGCCUUCAUCGGAGCCGGUUUACUCCCUCUCUCGGACUAACUACCAUGAUGUUAGGUUCACUACACCGAAGGGGGUGAACUAUUUUGCCAACUCUGGGAAGUUCGAGCAGCAGUAUCCGGCUAAUAGUCACGAACGCGUUGCAAUUGAGCAACGUGUGGAGGAUGAUUACCAUAAUUCCUUAGUGCAUAACUGCAGGGUUGAGUGGCAGCAACUUCAUUGGGGAUAUAGGCGGGAGACGCCGAAUUGUGAUGCAUUGAGGCGCUUUGAGGCUAUGGCUCAGUGAAGCAUUGAGGCGGAUGUCGCCACGGUGACAUGAUUAAAGUUUACAAAUCUACUCAAAGCUAAGACAUGCCAGGGUAUUAGUUGAGUGCUGUAAUCUGAGUAAUGUGUCUGUACCUAGUCAACUAAAAUCCUGUCCGUAGGGGAAAAUAGAGGCAGAUUACUCUGUGCAGGGAAUUACUCUCUUCACCCCGACCAACAAUUGAUGCAUUCUUUUCGGAGCUUGUGUCUGGCUUCAAUGUGUGUUUGCUCCAUCUCUAUUAUUUUAUAGAGAUAUUGGAAAGAGGGAAUGAGACAAUUCGAUGAUAUGUACGGACAUAUUAACAAGAAUCGGUAUAAUUUGGGUGUAUUCGUGAUUAAUUAGUGGAACCAGGAGAGAUUCAUAUGAAGCCUUUAUCCUACAUAACAGAGGAGGAUGCUCCAACUCCAACACCAUAUAUUUUUUUGCCAUUCGACAUUUUAAUCUUACUAUAUUAUACCAAAUGUCAAUUGAACUUUUGUGUAGUUGAUACCUGUUAGUAUUAUAUUCCCUGCUUUCAGCCUGUGUAUUCUUUCACAUAUAAACAUGGUUUUGCAAUCUGAUUCCUUUCUUUGCGUGCGA